RNAcentral lists this ribosomal RNA (292 nucleotides) under uncultured bacterium. RNAcentral's name for it is "partial 16S ribosomal RNA". It matches the Rfam family "Bacterial small subunit ribosomal RNA", at positions 505 to 796 of the family's 1533-position model. The record is from RNAcentral.
GUGUCAGCCGCCGCGGUAAGACGUAGGGGGCCAGCGUUGCUCGGAAUUACUGGGCGUAAAGGGUUCGUAGGCGGUGCGGCAAGUUCGGAGUGAAAUCUCCCGGCUCAACCGGGAUACUGCUUCGGAAACUGCUGUGCUCGAGUCCGGGAGAGGCGCGUGGAAUUGCAGGUGUAGCGGUGAAAUGCGUAGAUAUCUGCAGGAACACCAGAGGCGAAAGCGGCGCGCUGGACCGGUACUGACGCUGAGGAACGAAAGCUAGGGGAGCAAACAGGAUUAGAAACCCUCGUAGUCC